ACCAAAGGUGACCAAUCAGACAAAAUAAAUGUCUAUUAGCCUAGCAGAGAAUGUUAGAUCAGAUGUUAUAACAUUAAGAAUGUUAAAACAUAAUAUUCAGGAAAUGUCUAUUAGCCUAGCAGAGAAUGUUAGAUCAGAUGUUAUAACAUUAAGAAUGUUAAAACAUAAUAUUCAGGAAGUACAAACCAUCAUCAUACACAACUGUGAUAGCUGAGAUAAUGAACAAAUCUAAGGAAUUCAUCAAGAGCCCUAAAUAUUACAAAACAGGCAUCAAUGAGGACUGCCACACAUUACACAUUUUCCAGAAAAAAACAAAAAAAAC
This 322-nucleotide long non-coding RNA is filed under the name Lathyrus oleraceus (garden pea). RNAcentral describes it as "Pisum sativum (pea) long non-coding RNA (PSAT_LNC037754)". Lineage: Eukaryota; Viridiplantae; Streptophyta; Magnoliopsida; Fabales; Fabaceae. The record is from RNAcentral.